RNAcentral lists this ribosomal RNA (218 nucleotides) under uncultured bacterium. RNAcentral describes it as "partial 16S ribosomal RNA". It matches the Rfam family "Bacterial small subunit ribosomal RNA", at positions 126 to 334 of the family's 1533-position model. The record is from RNAcentral.
CUACCCUCGGGUGGGGAAUAACUCUUCGAAAGGAGAGCUAAUGCCGACAUGUGCAUCACUUUCGCAAGGAAGUGCUGGAAAGCCGUACCGUGGGUGCGGCGUCCAAGGAUGAGCUCACGUCCUAUCAGCUUGUUGGCGGGGUAACGGCCCACCAAGGCUGCGACGGGUAGCUGGUCUGAGAGGACGACCAGCCACACUGGCACUGCGACACGGGCCAG